CAAAAUAUAGCUUAAAUAAAGCAUCUCGCUUACACCGAGAAAACAUCUGUUAGAUCCAGAUUAUUUUGA
RNAcentral lists this transfer RNA (69 nucleotides) under Tlalocohyla godmani (Godman's treefrog). Its description in RNAcentral is "tRNA-Val". It matches the Rfam family "tRNA". Rfam says of the family: Transfer RNA (tRNA) molecules are approximately 80 nucleotides in length. Their secondary structure includes four short double-helical elements and three loops (D, anti-codon, and T loops). Lineage: Eukaryota; Metazoa; Chordata; Amphibia; Anura; Hylidae. The record is from RNAcentral.